Molecule: ribosomal RNA, 588 nt
Filed under: uncultured bacterium
Lineage: Bacteria
Description: partial 16S ribosomal RNA
Rfam family: Bacterial small subunit ribosomal RNA
Source: RNAcentral
UGGGGAAUUUUGGACAAUGGGCGAAAGCCUGAUCCAGCAAUGCCGCGUGUGUGAAGAAGGCCUUCGGGCUGUAAAGCACUUUUGUCCGGAAAGAAAUCCUUGGCUCUAAUACAGUCGGGGGAUGACGGUACCGGAAGAAUAAGCACCGGCUAACUACGUGCCAGCAGCCGCGGUAAUACGUAGGGUGCAAGCGUUAAUCGGAAUUACUGGGCGUAAAGCGUGCGCAGGCGGUUUGCUAAGACCGAUGUGAAAUCCCCGGGCUCAACCUGGGAACUGCAUUGGUGACUGGCAGGCUAGAGUAUGGCAGAGGGGGGUAGAAUUCCACGUGUAGCAGUGAAAUGCGUAGAGAUGUGGAGGAAUACCGAUGGCGAAGGCAGCCCCCUGGGCCAAAUACUGACGCUCAUGCACGAAAAGCGUGGGGAGCAAACAGGAUUAGAUACCCUGGUAGUCCACGCCCUAAAACGAUGUCAACUAGUUGUUGGGGAUUCAUUUCCUUAGUAACGUAGCUAACGCGUGAAGUUGACCGCCUGGGGAGUACGGUCGCAAGAUUAAAACUCAAAUGAAUUGACGGGGUCAUAGCUGUUUCCU